RNAcentral lists this microRNA precursor (103 nucleotides) under Marmota monax (woodchuck). Lineage: Eukaryota; Metazoa; Chordata; Mammalia; Rodentia; Sciuridae. The record is from RNAcentral.
AGAGGAAUAGCUGGGUCAAAUGGUGGUUCCAUUCCCAGAUUUCCAAGGAAUCUCCAUACUGCUUUCCAAAUUGGCUGCACCAAUUUGCAGUGCCACCCGCAAU